This 199-nucleotide ribosomal RNA is filed under the name uncultured bacterium. Its description in RNAcentral is "partial 16S ribosomal RNA". It matches the Rfam family "Bacterial small subunit ribosomal RNA", at positions 1302 to 1500 of the family's 1533-position model. The record is from RNAcentral.
GGUCUGCAACUCGACCACACGAAGCUGGAAUCGCUAGUAAUCGCGAAUCAGCAUGUCGCGGUGAAUACGUUCCCGGGUCUUGUACACACCGCCCGUCACACCGCGGGAGUCAGCAACGCCCGAAGUCAGUGACCUAACCGAGAGGAAGGAGCUGCCGAAGGCGGGGCAGGUAACUGGGGUGAAGUCGUAACAAGGUAGC